This 115-nucleotide ribosomal RNA is filed under the name Paracoccaceae bacterium. Lineage: Bacteria; Pseudomonadati; Pseudomonadota; Alphaproteobacteria; Rhodobacterales; Paracoccaceae. The record is from RNAcentral.
UUUGGUGGCCAUAGCACAAGUGAAACACCCGGUCCCUUCCCGAACCCGGCCGUUAAGCACUGUUGCGCUGAUGGUACUGCAUCUUAAGGUGUGGGAGAGUAAGUCACCGCCAAAC